CCCUUAGAUGUUCUGGGCUGCACGCGCGCUACACUGAUGCACUCAACGAGUUUACGACCUUGCCCGAUAGGGUUGGGUAAUCUUUUUAAAAUGCAUCGUGAUGGGGAUAGAUUAUUGCAAUUAUUAAUCUUCAACGAGGAAUUCCUAGUAAGCGCGAGUCAUCAGCUCGUGCUGAUUACGUCCCUGCCCUUUGUACACACCGCCCGUCGCUCCUACCGAUUGAGUGCUCAGGUGAAUAAUCCGGACUGCAGCAAUGUUUGGAUCCCGAACGUUGCAGCGGAAAGUUUAGUGAACCUUAUCACUUAGAGGAAGGAGAAGUCGUAACA
RNAcentral lists this ribosomal RNA (326 nucleotides) under uncultured eukaryote. RNAcentral describes it as "partial 18S ribosomal RNA". It matches the Rfam family "Eukaryotic small subunit ribosomal RNA", at positions 1470 to 1796 of the family's 1831-position model. The record is from RNAcentral.